This is a ribosomal RNA of Clohesyomyces aquaticus, 120 nucleotides long. The record is from Rfam. NCBI's taxonomy places the organism in Eukaryota, Fungi, Ascomycota, Dothideomycetes, Pleosporales, Lindgomycetaceae.
ACAUACGAUCAUAGGAUACGAAGAACUGGCAAACCCGUCCGCUCUUGCAUACAUAACUCGUAUACCGGCGGAUUAGUAGUCGCGUGGGAGACCAGCGGCGAAUUCCUGCUGUUGUAUGUU